GGCUAUAAACAGGGGGUACCGGUACAGAGUCAAUGUGGAGGCUAUAAACAGGGGGUACCGGUACAGAGUCAAUGUGGAGGCUAUAUACAGGGGGUACCGGUACAGAGUCAAUGUGGAGGCUAUAUACAGGGGGUACCGGUACAGAGUCAAUGUGGAGGCUAUAUACAGGGGGUACCGGUACAGAGUCAAUGUGGAGGCUAUAAACAGGGGGUACCGGUACAGAGUCAAUGUGGAGGCUAUAUACAGGGGGUACCGGUACAGAGUCAAUGUGGAGACUAUAUACAGGGGGUACCGGUACAGAGUCAAUGUGGAGGCUAUAUACAGGGGGUACCGGUGCAGAGUCAAUGUGGAGGCUAUAAACGGGGGAUACCGGUACAGAGUCAAUGUGGAGGCUAUAUACAGGGUGUUACGGUACAGAGUCAAUGUGGAGGCUAUAAACAGGGGGUACCGGUACAGAGUCAAUGUGGAGGCUAUAAACAGGGGGUACCGGUACAGAGUCAAUGUGGAGGCUAUAAACAGGGGGUACCGGUACAGAGUCAAUGUGGAGGCUAUAAACAGGGGGUACCGGUACAGAGUCAAUGUGGAGGCUAUAUACAGGGGGUACCGGUACAGAGUCAAUGUGGAGGCUAUAAACAGGGGGUACCGGUACAGAGUCAAUGUGGAGGCUAUAUACAGGGGGUACCGGUACAGAGUCAAUGUGGAGGCUAUAUACAGGGGGUACCGGUACAGAGUCAAUGUGGAGGCUUUAUACAGGGGUACCGGUACAGAGUCAAUGUGGAGGCUAUGUGCGGGGUAGCCAUUUGAUUAGUCUGGGUAGUCUGGGUAGCCAUUUGAUUAGUCUGGGUUGUCUGGGUAGCCAUUUUAUUAGAUGUUCAGGAAUCUUAUGGCUUGGGGGCAGAAGCUGUUUAGAGGCCUCUUGGACCUAGACUUGGUGCAUCAGUACUGCUUGCCGUGUGGUAGCAGAGAGAACUGUCUAUGACUAGGAUGGCUGGAGUCUGACAAUUUUUAGGGCCUUCCUC
Molecule: long non-coding RNA, 1019 nt
Filed under: Salmo salar (Atlantic salmon)
Lineage: Eukaryota; Metazoa; Chordata; Actinopteri; Salmoniformes; Salmonidae
Description: lncRNA (ENSSSAG00000090288.1)
Source: RNAcentral